UAGGGAAUCUUCGGCAAUGGACGAAAGUCUGACCGAGCAACGCCGCGUGAGUGAAGAAGGUUUUCGGAUCGUAAAACUCUGUUGUUAGAGAAGAACAAGGACGUUAGUAACUGAACGUCCCCUGACGGUAUCUAACCAGAAAGCCACGGCUAACUACGUGCCAGCAGCCGCGGUAAUACGUAGGUGGCAAGCGUUGUCCGGAUUUAGUGGGCGUAAAGCGAGCGCAGGCGGUUUCUUAAGUCUGAUGUGAAAGCCCCCGGCUCAACCGGGGAGGGUCCUUGGAAACUGGGAGACUUGAGUGCAGAAGAGGAGAGUGGAAUUCCAUGUGUAGCGGUGAAAUGCGUCGAUAUAUGGAGGAACACCAGUGGCGAAGGCGGCUCUCUGGUCUGUAACUGACGCUGAGGCUCGAAAGCGUGGGGAGCAAACAGG
RNAcentral lists this ribosomal RNA (429 nucleotides) under Gemmatimonadota bacterium. Its description in RNAcentral is "Gemmatimonadetes bacterium partial 16S ribosomal RNA". It matches the Rfam family "Bacterial small subunit ribosomal RNA", at positions 355 to 776 of the family's 1533-position model. Lineage: Bacteria; Pseudomonadati; Gemmatimonadota. The record is from RNAcentral.